RNAcentral lists this ribosomal RNA (385 nucleotides) under uncultured bacterium. RNAcentral describes it as "bacterial SSU rRNA". It matches the Rfam family "Bacterial small subunit ribosomal RNA", at positions 50 to 437 of the family's 1533-position model. The record is from RNAcentral.
AACACAUGCAAGUCGAACGGCAGCGCGGGCUUCGGCCUGGCGGCGAGUGGCGAACGGGUGAGUAAUACAUCGGAACGUGCCCUGUUGUGGGGGAUAACUAGUCGAAAGAUUAGCUAAUACCGCAUACGACCUGAGGGUGAAAGCGGGGGACCGCAAGGCCUCGCGCAAUAGGAGCGGCCGAUGUCUGAUUAGCUAGUUGGUGGGGUAAAGGCCUACCAAGGCGACGAUCAGUAGCUGGUCUGAGAGGACGAUCAGCCACACUGGGACUGAGACACGGCCCAGACUCCUACGGGAGGCAGCAGUGGGGAAUAUUGGACAAUGGGCGAAAGCCUGAUCCAGCAAUGCCGCGUGAGUGAUGAAGGCCUUAGGGUUGUAAAGCUCUUUU